This 3327-nucleotide long non-coding RNA is filed under the name Gossypium raimondii (Peruvian cotton). RNAcentral's name for it is "long non-coding RNA (GRAI_LNC005023)". The record is from RNAcentral. Lineage: Eukaryota; Viridiplantae; Streptophyta; Magnoliopsida; Malvales; Malvaceae.
GAGAAAAUGGCAACCGAAGCCUCAGUCAAUUACGACAGAACCAAAGAGUUGAAGCAAUUCGACGACACAAAAACUGGUGUUAAAGGACUCGUCGACUCCGGAAUACUCAACGUCCCCAAGAUUUUCAUUCGACCAGCCGAGGACCUUGCCGCCGACGAACUGAAUUCCAGUCAGAAAACCAUUGAAGUUCCUGUUAUAGAUUUAAGCAACAUCGGAGACAGUAUCCGGCGAAAGGAGAUCGUAAACGAAGUUAAGAUUGCAUCAGGGGAAUGGGGUUUCUUCCAAGUGAUAAACCAUGGGAUCCCAUUAAGUGUUUUGGAUGAAAUGAUUGAAGGGCUACGUUUGUUUAAUGAACAAGAUUUGGAGUUGAAGAAAGAGAUGUAUAGCCGUGACAGUGCAAAGAAAGUGAAAUUCCACUCUAAUUUUGAUCUUUAUACUUCAAAAACGGCUGAUUGGAGGGACACUUUGCAACUUACUUUCCUUGAUUCUGACCCUGACCCUUCUCAAAUGCCACCAGUCUGCAGGUAAUUAAGCACUAAUCUUGGUUUUUUUUACUCCAUAUUACCUUUUAAAUUUAGAAAUUUGACUUUUGGGAGGGAAUUUCGACUUCUUCGCAAGAAAAUUUUCCAAGUGUCAUUUAUUUAGAAUUGUUCAAUCCUUCGAAACAUCCAGUAUUAUCUUAGGUCAAGAAUUUGCAUCUCAGUUCGGUCAAAAGUUGUAUGAAAUUUACAGAGCCGAAACACUUUAUCGGAUCGAAUCGUGUGCUACAAAAGAUAAUGGUGGCAAUUUGUCAUCGGUUGAGUUUAAUCCCAGCUUGGGUUUUAACAUUAUUAAUGGAAAAUGAUCACUAUUUUCUUGGUAAGUGGUUGUGCAUCACGUACGACCCGAUUCGAUGUGUCGUUCUCACUCUGUCAAAUUGGUAUAGCUUUUAAUGAAGUCGAGAAACAGAACUUUAAUCUGAAACAAUAUUGAACUUGUUGAGAGGUUUACUCUCUUCGAGCAUAUGACACUUCAAAGACUUUUAAAAAUUUUAGUUUAAAUUUAUGUGACGAAACCAAAACCAUGUAAUAAAGGGAAGUUUAGCCAAUACAGGACCAUAUUACAGUAGAAUUUUGUCAAAUUUACAUUUUUUUUCCUAUUUUUGUUUGAUUGAAUUUGCAGAAAAUCAACAAUGGAGUAUUUUAAGCAUAUAAAAAGAUUGGGAGACGCUUUGUUUGAGUUGCUAUCAGAGGCACUUGGUCUUCAACCAGACCACCUUAACUCAAUCGGAUGUAGUAAAGGGUGUAGCAUAGUGACCCACUACUAUCCACCUUGCCCUCAACCUGAACUCACUUUAGGGGUAAGGAAACAUGCAGACGCAGGCAUAUUAACAGUGCUUCUACAGAACCAUAUGGGCGGCCUCCAAGUCCUUCACGACAGUCAAUGGUUCGACGUCCACCCCACUCGAGGUGGUUUGGUCAUAAACGUCGGCGAUCUUCUUCAAGUUAGCUUCAAUUCACAAACUCUAUAUGAAACUGUCCUAAUAGACUAGCUACUGACUCUUUUUAUGUUGUUUAUGGUAGGUUUUAUCAAAUAAUAAGUUCAAGAGUGUGAAACAUAGAGCAAUUUCCAGUCAUGUCGGACCUAGAAUUUCGGUGGCAUGUUUUUUCUCAGGACAUGCUAGCUUGCUUGACAAGCCAUUUGGACCAAUCAAAAAGCUGAUAUCAGAGGCAAAUCCUCCUCGAUAUGAAGAGUUUUUGUUAAAGGAAUAUUUUGCCAAGUUUUUUGCAAGCUCACUUGAUUCCAAGCCUCCUAUAGAUUACUACAAGCUGUGAAGCUAUAAACUAUCAAUUUGCCGUUAGAAUACCAAGCUGAAUAAAAUAGUCUUGUGUGUGUUUUAAUUUGUAUCACAAAUUUAGUAAUUGUAGUGUAGUGUAUUUUGUUUGUAUAAUAAGCAUGUUUAAGAUAUUUUAUAUUUUACAUAAAUUUUGAUAUAUAAAUAAUCUGAAUUAUAUUGUUUUCAAGACAUACAUAUAUUCUUAUCAUAUUUGUGUUGUUUUCUCUUAUUACAUUGUAUUUUUCCCACAUAAUUUAAUCUUAGAAACAUGGCUAUGGGUUUCGUCUAGUCUAGACUAUUGUGACCUCCCUUUUUAAGUCUACCCAUAGUAAAGAUUUCAUUGGUAAAAAUAUCAUGAAUGCUUUUAUACUAUAAAUUGAAUUACAUUUUACCAUCUUUACUAUUUCUGCUAUGUCACGCAACAUGUGCAAUUUAACUAAAAAAUUAAGUUUCAGUCAUUGUAGUUCACGUCUCACCUUUUAAUAAAAUUAAUUAUAUAAUAAAUUUUAUAUUUAUUUUUUUCAAAAGCGUACUUUUUUCGGCUACCACUUCAACAACUAGUUAAAUACACAAUAGAUUGUUUUUAAAAAUUUUAAGGUAAAUUGCACAUAAGUUUACUAAAUUAUUAAUUAUUAAUAAGUUUAUGUUUUGGUCACUUAACUAAAAAAAUUACAAAAUGGUCAUUAAAUUAUUAGAAAGUUUUCAUUUAAAUCAUUAGGCUAUUAAAAUCAUUAUUGUAUAGUCUUUUCUCUUCGUACAGUGUGCACCAAUCGAACAAUCGAAAGUUUUUUUUCCCUUUUCUUUUAUAAUUCAAUUUUUCUCAUGAAACCACUUUAAACGUCAUAAUUUGUCAAUCAAAAUUUAAACAGUUUUAUUCUCUAAUCUUCGACACUGACUAUCAGAUUGACUUGGAUCUAAAGUACGUUUUACUCGUCGAUGAGUAUUAAUUUACUAUACUAAUUGCUGAAUUAUUGCUUGAAACUCAUUAUAUGGACUUAAAAAGAAUAACAAUAAUUUAAAUAAAAACUUUCGAAUAGUUCAAAAUUAAAAGAUAAACUUAAUUUAGUGAGCUAUAAGUAAAUUAACCUUUUAAUUUUUAUGGUUUUUUAGUAAUUUAUUAAAUUAAAUCAGACUAAAUUGAUUCAACUAAAAGUCGGUCUUCUAAUUCAUUCAACCACUUGUGGAGAUUUUAAAAGAAAAAGAAAAAAGCAAUUCAAUUAGCAGAGAAAAUGGCAACCGAAACCUCAGUGGAUUACGACAGAACCAAAGAGUUGAAGCAAUUCGACGACACAAAAGCUGGUGUUAAAGGACUCGUCGAUGCCGGAAUACUUAACAUCCCCAAGAUUUUCGUUCGACCAGCCGAGGACCUUGCCGCCGACGAACUGAAUUCUGGCCACAAAAACGUCGAAGUCCCGAUCAUAGAUGUAAGCAACGUCGGAGACAGUAUCCGGCGACAGGAGAUCGUAAACGAAGUUAAGAUUGCAUCAGGGGAAUGGGGUUUCUUCCAAGUG